UCAACGGCUUCUUCCUGUUUAAACCUCGGUAGUUGCCUUAAUCAACCUGUUACAUCAUGAUUUCCCCCAGAGAACAACUCACCAGUGGUCACUAUUCACGUGUCAUGCCCCGUGAUAUGAGCCAGUAGCCAACAUAUGCCUCCAUCCUCAAUGGCUUCCAAACCGGCACCCAUAUCUCAGGCAGAGCGGCAUCAUGCUUAUGUCACCUUUCUUCAUCGUAGGCAGAGCUUUGGUGGAUGAUGCCGUCUGCAGCUCCCGUUUCUCGCUUCUGUACACAUGCCUGCUGAAGCAAGUUUACCAUAUGGGGUUGCAACCCCCUCAUUUGAGUCCUGCAGAUCAUGCAAGCAAACAGUUGCAAAGUCUAGCAUGCAAGCCCAAUUUUACUACUUCUCAUGAGACAACAUCAUACUUUGGGUUGUUGCUUGGGUUUGGUGCUGCCCAGGUUUGCAGCCAUGGCAUGAGGAGCGUGGUCGCGAUGGUGAAGUCCUUUGUUGCCAAGUUGCCAUAGAACUCGGCAAAGUCGUCAUAUUCCAUUCCACUGACGGCCAGGAAUUCCUCAAACGCUUUGGUGGCCUUAUCACCAG
This 584-nucleotide long non-coding RNA is filed under the name Volvox carteri. RNAcentral's name for it is "long non-coding RNA (VCAR_LNC003780)". The record is from RNAcentral. Lineage: Eukaryota; Viridiplantae; Chlorophyta; Chlorophyceae; Chlamydomonadales; Volvocaceae.